Long non-coding RNA from Ictalurus punctatus (channel catfish), 1244 nucleotides. The record is from Ensembl. Lineage: Eukaryota; Metazoa; Chordata; Actinopteri; Siluriformes; Ictaluridae.
ACUAAACAAUCUGAGGAAGAGAACAGGUCUGUAUUCUGGAUUUCAUUUUUUUCAGUAGUGAUUUUCUAUAAGGAGUGUGAAGCUGAGUACUGACACAUGCUGACAUGUGAUUGGCUACAACGUGGCUCAGAUGUGAUUGGCUACAGUUCUGUGAAUGAACACAGUGGUCAGGAGAUGGAGAGAGUGGUCAGGAGAUGGAGAGAGUGGUGAGGAGAUGGAGAGAGUGGUGAGGAGAUGGAGAGAGUGGUCAGGUGAUGGAGAGAGUGGUCAGGAGAUGGAGAGAGUGGUGAGGAGAUGGAGAGAGUGGUGAGGAGAUGUAUGUUGUAUUGUGUCAGACAGAACCAGAGCCCCUGAUAUCAGCAGAGAAACAAGGAGAGAACAAUAAACAGUGCACAAACACCGUUAAUCAACUUUCCUCUUCCUCCGGCGUCACUGAAUGAGUUCUUCAUUUAAGAGAAAACACCAUCUCAGCUCCAAAUCUCUCUCUUAUUCACGCUUUCGCCUCAUUUAUGAGUACAAUUGUGGACGGACUGUUACUAAAACGCUGUUGCACAAAGCCCAAACGAUUCUUUUGUUCAGCUGUGGUGAGAUUCUGUAAAAGUCUUUAUGAGCUGCUAGAACAUUUCCACAAUUUGGACCGGUUCUCUAAAGUGAGUAAAGCGUGCAGUGCUCUCAUCUUCAUCCUGUGGUGUGAAGUGAUUUCCCAGGGAAAGUGGUUCAAUAAAGUUCUAACCUUUCAUUUUUAAAGCCCAGUUAAACUCUGAAUCAUCGAGUCAAAAGCAAAGGUCAGAACAUAAAACAGAACCCAGACAUAUCAUUUUGCUCUUUGGGUACUGAAAUGUGUAUGGAAGGAUUUCAGAAAAAAGUAGCCUUGGGGCGGUGAAAAUAAAACGCCUCACGAUCUAAAUAAACGAAUGAACUAAAUAAAUAAAGUAACGAUCUUCGGUUCUAAAUCUCACUGUAAAAAACGCUUCAAAAGAGGUUCUACAUGGAAAGAAACGAAGAUCCUGUCUGGGUUCCCAAGAGAACCAAACCGAUGAACUGUUUAGGAUGCUAACGUAAACUCAUAAGAAUAAAACGGUGAUUUUUAAAUGGUUCUUCAAUGAGUUUCUCUGGAGUUCUUAAAUUAGAACCCUCUCAAAUAAGAGGUGGUUGUAGGGUGAAUCCUUUUUGGGUCUCUGGAGGGAAAUAUAUAUAACUAUAUCUCUUUUUUUUCUUAAAGUCUAUCUUUCAAACAAGAGAAA